UAGAGCGGCGGACGGGUGAGUAACACGUGGACAAUCUGCCCCCCGGCCCGGGAUAGCCCAGGGAAACCUGGAUUAAUACCGGAUGAGACGGGACCCGCGAUGGCGGGAUCCGGGAAAGGCGCUGCGGCGCCGCCGGGGGAUGAGUCUGCGUCCCAUUAGCUAGACGGCGGGGUAACGGCCCACCGUGGCGACGAUGGGUAGCCGGCCUGAGAGGGUGGACGGCCACAUUGGAACUGAGACACGGUCCAGACUCCUACGGGAGGCAGCAGCUAAGAAUCUUCCGCAAGUGGGACGAAAGCCUGACGGAGACCGACGCCGCGUGAACGAAGAACGGCCGUGUAGGUUAGUAAAGUUCGUUUCGGGAGGGGAACAACCGUGGCAGGGGAUGGCCGCGGGAUGACGUGAAUCCCGGAAUAAGCCCCGGCUAACUACGUGCCAGCCGCCGC
This 446-nucleotide ribosomal RNA is filed under the name uncultured bacterium. Its description in RNAcentral is "bacterial SSU rRNA". It matches the Rfam family "Bacterial small subunit ribosomal RNA", at positions 91 to 518 of the family's 1533-position model. The record is from RNAcentral.